RNAcentral lists this ribosomal RNA (2923 nucleotides) under Klebsiella pneumoniae. RNAcentral describes it as "bacterial LSU rRNA". It matches the Rfam family "Bacterial large subunit ribosomal RNA". The record is from RNAcentral. Lineage: Bacteria; Pseudomonadati; Pseudomonadota; Gammaproteobacteria; Enterobacterales; Enterobacteriaceae.
GGGUUGUGAGGUUAAGCGACUAAGCGUACACGGUGGAUGCCCUGGCAGUCAGAGGCGAUGAAGGACGUGCUAAUCUGCGAAAAGCGUCGGUAAGGUGAUAUGAACCGUUAUAACCGGCGAUGUCCGAAUGGGGAAACCCAGUGCAAUUCGUUGCACUAUCGUUAACUGAAUACAUAGGUUAACGAGGCGAACCGGGGGAACUGAAACAUCUAAGUACCCCGAGGAAAAGAAAUCAACCGAGAUUCCCCCAGUAGCGGCGAGCGAACGGGGAGCAGCCCAGAGUCUGAAUCAGCUUGUGUGUUAGUGGAACGGUCUGGAAAGUCCGACGGUACAGGGUGAUAGUCCCGUACACCAAAAUGCACAGGUUGUGAACUCGAAGAGUAGGGCGGGACACGUGGUAUCCUGUCUGAAUAUGGGGGGACCAUCCUCCAAGGCUAAAUACUCCUGACUGACCGAUAGUGAACCAGUACCGUGAGGGAAAGGCGAAAAGAACCCCGGCGAGGGGAGUGAAAAAGAACCUGAAACCGUGUACGUACAAGCAGUGGGAGCACCUUCGGGUGUGACUGCGUACCUUUUGUAUAAUGGGUCAGCGACUUAUAUUCUGUAGCAAGGUUAACCGUAUAGGGGAGCCGCAGGGAAACCGAGUCUUAACUGGGCGUUAAGUUGCAGGGUAUAGACCCGAAACCCGGUGAUCUAGCCAUGGGCAGGUUGAAGGUUGGGUAACACUAACUGGAGGACCGAACCGACUAAUGUUGAAAAAUUAGCGGAUGACUUGUGGCUGGGGGUGAAAGGCCAAUCAAACCGGGAGAUAGCUGGUUCUCCCCGAAAGCUAUUUAGGUAGCGCCUCGUGAAUUCAUCUUCGGGGGUAGAGCACUGUUUCGGCUAGGGGGUCAUCCCGACUUACCAACCCGAUGCAAACUACGAAUACCGAAGAAUGUUAUCACGGGAGACACACGGCGGGUGCUAACGUCCGUCGUGAAGAGGGAAACAACCCAGACCGCCAGCUAAGGUCCCAAAGUCAUGGUUAAGUGGGAAACGAUGUGGGAAGGCACAGACAGCCAGGAUGUUGGCUUAGAAGCAGCCAUCAUUUAAAGAAAGCGUAAUAGCUCACUGGUCGAGUCGGCCUGCGCGGAAGAUGUAACGGGGCUAAACCAUGCACCGAAGCUGCGGCAGCGACACUAUGUGUUGUUGGGUAGGGGAGCGUUCUGUAAGCCUGCGAAGGUGACCUGUGAGGGUUGCUGGAGGUAUCAGAAGUGCGAAUGCUGACAUAAGUAACGAUAAAGCGGGUGAAAAGCCCGCUCGCCGGAAGACCAAGGGUUCCUGUCCAACGUUAAUCGGGGCAGGGUGAGUCGACCCCUAAGGCGAGGCCGAAAGGCGUAGUCGAUGGGAAACAGGUUAAUAUUCCUGUACUUGGUGUUACUGCGAAGGGGGGACGGAGAAGGCUAUGUUAGCCGGGCGACGGUUGUCCCGGUUUAAGCAUGUAGGCUGAUUGUCCAGGCAAAUCCGGAUAAUCAAGGCUGAGGUGUGAUGACGAGGCACUACGGUGCUGAAGUAACAAAUGCCCUGCUUCCAGGAAAAGCCUCUAAGCAUCAGGUAACAUCAAAUCGUACCCCAAACCGACACAGGUGGUCAGGUAGAGAAUACCAAGGCGCUUGAGAGAACUCGGGUGAAGGAACUAGGCAAAAUGGUGCCGUAACUUCGGGAGAAGGCACGCUGGUGUGUAGGUGAAGCCCCUGCGGGUGGAGCUGAGACCAGUCGAAGAUACCAGCUGGCUGCAACUGUUUAUUAAAAACACAGCACUGUGCAAACACGAAAGUGGACGUAUACGGUGUGACGCCUGCCCGGUGCCGGAAGGUUAAUUGAUGGGGUUAUCCGUAAGGAGAAGCUCUUGAUCGAAGCCCCGGUAAACGGCGGCCGUAACUAUAACGGUCCUAAGGUAGCGAAAUUCCUUGUCGGGUAAGUUCCGACCUGCACGAAUGGCGUAAUGAUGGCCAGGCUGUCUCCACCCGAGACUCAGUGAAAUUGAACUCGCUGUGAAGAUGCAGUGUACCCGCGGCAAGACGGAAAGACCCCGUGAACCUUUACUAUAGCUUGACACUGAACAUUGAGCCUUGAUGUGUAGGAUAGGUGGGAGGCUUUGAAGCGUGGACGCCAGUCUGCGUGGAGCCAACCUUGAAAUACCACCCUUUAAUGUUUGAUGUUCUAACGUUGGCCCCUUACCGGGGUUGCGGACAGUGUCUGGUGGGUAGUUUGACUGGGGCGGUCUCCUCCCAAAGCGUAACGGAGGAGCACGAAGGUUAGCUAAUCCUGGUCGGACAUCAGGAGGUUAGUGCAAUGGCAUAAGCUAGCUUGACUGCGAGCGUGACGGCGCGAGCAGGUGCGAAAGCAGGUCAUAGUGAUCCGGUGGUUCUGAAUGGAAGGGCCAUCGCUCAACGGAUAAAAGGUACUCCGGGGAUAACAGGCUGAUACCGCCCAAGAGUUCAUAUCGACGGCGGUGUUUGGCACCUCGAUGUCGGCUCAUCACAUCCUGGGGCUGAAGUAGGUCCCAAGGGUAUGGCUGUUCGCCAUUUAAAGUGGUACGCGAGCUGGGUUUAGAACGUCGUGAGACAGUUCGGUCCCUAUCUGCCGUGGGCGCUGGAGAAUUGAGGGGGGCUGCUCCUAGUACGAGAGGACCGGAGUGGACGCAUCACUGGUGUUCGGGUUGUCAUGCCAAUGGCACUGCCCGGUAGCUAAAUGCGGAAGAGAUAAGUGCUGAAAGCAUCUAAGCACGAAACUUGCCCCGAGAUGAGUUCUCCCUGAGACUUUAAGUCUCCUGAAGGAACGUUAAAGACGAUGACGUUGAUAGGCCGGGUGUGUAAGCGCAGCGAUGCGUUGAGCUAACCGGUACUAAUGAACCGUGAGGCUUAACCUUACAACGCCGAAG